UACGUAGGGUGCAAGCGUUAUCCGGAAUUAUUGGGCGUAAAGAGCUCGUAGGCGGUUUGUCGCGUCUGCUGUGAAAACUGGAGGCUCAACCUCCAGCCUGCAGUGGGUACGGGCAGACUAGAGUGCGGUAGGGGAGAUUGGAAUUCCUGGUGUAGCGGUGGAAUGCGCAGAUAUCUGGAGGAACACCGGUGGCGAAGGCGGCAUCCUGGACCGGUAUUGACACUGAGGCGCGAAAGCCAGGGGAGCAAACGGG
Molecule: ribosomal RNA, 253 nt
Filed under: uncultured bacterium
Lineage: Bacteria
Description: partial 16S ribosomal RNA
Rfam family: Bacterial small subunit ribosomal RNA
Source: RNAcentral